Molecule: long non-coding RNA, 346 nt
Filed under: Malus domestica (apple)
Lineage: Eukaryota; Viridiplantae; Streptophyta; Magnoliopsida; Rosales; Rosaceae
Description: long non-coding RNA (MDOM_LNC005260)
Source: RNAcentral
AGAGAGACCUGAGUUCGUAAACUCGUGUCGUUUCCUCUUCCAACUUGAUUUACCAUUUUUUUUUUCUUUUAAAAAAAAAAACAGAAAGAGCUCGCGUCUCUCUCUCUCUCUGUGAAAACUGGAAGCCCUAAUUCAUAAAAAUUCCUGGAUCAAAUCAAAUAUUUAGGUUGGAUGGAGGUAUGUGUGAUCAUGUCGUGUUUUUCUGCUUGAAUAUUCAUCUUGUUUUCAAUAAAUAAAUAAAGAAUAUUGAUCUUGUACCAGAAAGAAGACAAAGGAGGAAGAGAUGGAAAACAUGUGACUUUGGUGGGUACUUCAACUUCUAUAGGCAUUUUCAUUUGUAUUUCAC